RNAcentral lists this ribosomal RNA (505 nucleotides) under uncultured bacterium. Its description in RNAcentral is "partial 16S ribosomal RNA". It matches the Rfam family "Bacterial small subunit ribosomal RNA", at positions 28 to 507 of the family's 1533-position model. The record is from RNAcentral.
GACGAACGCUGGCGGCGUGCCUAAUACAUGCAAGUAGAACGCACAGUUUAUACCGUAGCUUGCUACACCAUAAACUGUGAGUUGCGAACGGGUGAGUAACGCGUAGGUAACCUGCCUGGUAGCGGGGGAUAACUAUUGGAAACGAUAGCUAAUACCGCAUAAUAUUGAUUAUUGCAUGAUAAUUGAUUGAAAGAUGCUAUUGCAUCACUACCAGAUGGACCUGCGUUGUAUUAGCUAGUAGGUGAGGUAACGGCUCACCUAGGCGACGAGACAUAGCCGACCUGAGAGGGUGAUCGGCCACACUGGGAGUGAGACACGGCCCAGACUCCUACGGGAGGCAGCAGUAGGGAAUCUUCGGCAAUGGACGAAAGUCUGACCGAGCAACGCCGCGUGCGUGAAGAAGGUUUUCGGGUCGUGAAGCUCUGUUGUAAGAGAAGAACGGGUGUGAGAGUGGAAAGUUCACACUGUGACGGUAUCUUACCAGAAAGGGACGGCUAACUACGUG